This 177-nucleotide small RNA is filed under the name Coturnix japonica (Japanese quail). RNAcentral describes it as "TUC338 (ENSCJPG00005005277.1)". It matches the Rfam family "TUC338". The record is from RNAcentral. Lineage: Eukaryota; Metazoa; Chordata; Aves; Galliformes; Phasianidae.
UUGACAGCUGUGGAGACUGAAGUCCUCUUUUUAUCCACAGAACAGGUACAGCACAGGCAGCGGCAGUGCAAGCUUCCCCACAUUGCCCCACCAAUGUGCCUCAACCCUGACCUGGAGGGACCACCUUUAGGGGUGAGAGGGGAUUCAGUCUCCAUGCUCAUUCAAUUCUUGGCCUCU